This 137-nucleotide ribosomal RNA is filed under the name uncultured bacterium. RNAcentral describes it as "partial 16S ribosomal RNA". It matches the Rfam family "Bacterial small subunit ribosomal RNA", at positions 218 to 354 of the family's 1533-position model. The record is from RNAcentral.
CUGGAAGAUGGCCUCGCGUCUGAUUAGCUAGUUGGUGAGGUAACGGCCCACCAAGGCGACGAUCAGUAGCCGGACUGAGAGGUUGGCCGGCCACAUUGGGACUGAGAUACGGCCCAGACUCCUACGGAAGGCAGCAG